GUGCAGCCGCCGCUUUAAUACCGGCAGCCCGAGUGAUGGCCGAUAUUAUUGGGCCUAAAGCGUCCGUAGCUGGCCGAACAAGUCCGUCGGGAAAUCCACGUGCUUAACACGUGGGCGACCGGCGGAAACUGUUCGGCUUGGGGCCGGAGGACCCGAGGGGUACGUCCGGGGUAGGAGUGAAAUCCUGUAAUCCUGGACGGACCGCCGGUGGCGAGAGCGCCUCGGGAAGACGGACCCGACAGUGAGGGACGAAAGCUGGGAUCUCGAACCGGAUUAGAUACCCCAGUAGUCC
This 292-nucleotide ribosomal RNA is filed under the name uncultured bacterium. Its description in RNAcentral is "partial 16S ribosomal RNA". It matches the Rfam family "Archaeal small subunit ribosomal RNA", at positions 455 to 747 of the family's 1478-position model. The record is from RNAcentral.